GGGCGGGUGGCGGAACUGGCAGACGCGCACGGCUUAGGACCGUGUGCCGCAAGGCUUGGGGGUUCAAGUCCCCCCCCGCCCA
RNAcentral lists this transfer RNA (82 nucleotides) under Elusimicrobiota bacterium. RNAcentral describes it as "tRNA-Leu". It matches the Rfam family "tRNA". Rfam says of the family: Transfer RNA (tRNA) molecules are approximately 80 nucleotides in length. Their secondary structure includes four short double-helical elements and three loops (D, anti-codon, and T loops). RNAcentral also lists the same sequence under 1 other name. The record is from RNAcentral. Lineage: Bacteria; Pseudomonadati; Elusimicrobiota.